This 1319-nucleotide ribosomal RNA is filed under the name Photobacterium sanguinicancri. RNAcentral describes it as "partial 23S ribosomal RNA". It matches the Rfam family "Bacterial large subunit ribosomal RNA", at positions 1629 to 2925 of the family's 2925-position model. Lineage: Bacteria; Pseudomonadati; Pseudomonadota; Gammaproteobacteria; Vibrionales; Vibrionaceae. The record is from RNAcentral.
AGGUUAUAAGCAAUCGUACCCCAAACCGACACAGGUGAUCAGGUAGAGAAUACCAAGGCGCUUGAGAGAACUCGGGUGAAGGAACUAGGCAAAAUGGUACCGUAACUUCGGGAGAAGGUACGCUCCUCGCGGUGAUGAGACUUGCUCUCUAAGCUGCUGGGAGUCGCAGAUACCAGGUGGCUGCAACUGUUUAUUAAAAACACAGCACUGUGCAAAAUCGAAAGAUGACGUAUACGGUGUGACGCCUGCCCGGUGCCGGAAGGUUAAUUGAUGGGGUUAGACUUCGGUCGAAGCUCUUGAUCGAAGCCCCGGUAAACGGCGGCCGUAACUAUAACGGUCCUAAGGUAGCGAAAUUCCUUGUCGGGUAAGUUCCGACCUGCACGAAUGGCGUAAUGAUGGCCACGCUGUCUCCACCCGAGACUCAGUGAAAUUGAAAUCGCAGUGAAGAUGCUGUGUACCCGCGGCUAGACGGAAAGACCCCGUGAACCUUUACUACAGCUUGGCACUGAACAUUGACCCUACAUGUGUAGGAUAGGUGGGAGCCUUUGAAGCAUUGUCGCUAGAUGAUGUGGAGGCAAUCUUGAAAUACCACCCUUGUAUGCUUGAUGUUCUAACGUCGCCCCCUUAUCGGGGGUGCGGACAGUGCCUGGUGGGUAGUUUGACUGGGGCGGUCUCCUCCCAAAGAGUAACGGAGGAGCACGAAGGUGGGCUAAUCACGGUCGGACAUCGUGAGGUUAGUGCAAUGGCAUAAGCCCGCUUGACUGCGAGAAUGACAAUUCGAGCAGGUGCGAAAGCAGGUCAUAGUGAUCCGGUGGUUCUGAAUGGAAGGGCCAUCGCUCAACGGAUAAAAGGUACUCCGGGGAUAACAGGCUGAUACCGCCCAAGAGUUCAUAUCGACGGCGGUGUUUGGCACCUCGAUGUCGGCUCAUCACAUCCUGGGGCUGAAGUCGGUCCCAAGGGUAUGGCUGUUCGCCAUUUAAAGUGGUACGCGAGCUGGGUUUAGAACGUCGUGAGACAGUUCGGUCCCUAUCUGCCGUGGGCGUUAGAUGAUUGAGAGGGGCUGCUCCUAGUACGAGAGGACCGGAGUGGACGAACCGCUGGUGUUCGGGUUGUUAUGCCAAUAGCAUUGCCCGGUAGCUACGUUCGGAAUCGAUAAGCGCUGAAAGCAUCUAAGCGCGAAGCGAGCCUCAAGAUGAGUCAUCUCUAGACCUUUAAGGUCUCUAAAGGGUUGUCGAAGACUACGACGUUGAUAGGCAGGGUGUGUAAGUGCUGCGAGGCAUUGAGCUAACCUGUACUAAUUGCCCGUGAGGCUUAACCAU